AUUGAACGCUGGCGGCAGGCCUAACACAUGCAAGUCGAACGGUAGCACAGAGAGCUUGCUCUUGGGUGACGAGUGGCGGACGGGUGAGUAAUGUCUGGGAAACUGCCCGAUGGAGGGGGAUAACUACUGGAAACGGUAGCUAAUACCGCAUAACGUCUUCGGACCAAAGUGGGGGACCUUCGGGCCUCACACCAUCGGAUGUGCCCAGAUGGGAUUAGCUAGUAGGUGGGGUAAUGGCUCACCUAGGCGACGAUCCCUAGCUGAUCUGAGAGGAUGACCAGCCACACUGGAACUGAGACACGGUCCAGACGCCUACGGGAGGCAGCAGUGGGGAAUAUUGCACAAUGGGCGCAAGCCUGAUGCAGCCAUGCCGCGUGUAUGAAGAAGGCCUUCGGGUUGUAAAGUACUUUCAGCGGGGAGGAAGGCGGUGGAGUUAAUAGCUUCGUCGAUUGACGUUACCCGCAGAAGAAGCACCGGCUAACUCCGUGCCAGCCGCCGCAGUAA
This 504-nucleotide ribosomal RNA is filed under the name uncultured bacterium. RNAcentral describes it as "partial 16S ribosomal RNA". It matches the Rfam family "Bacterial small subunit ribosomal RNA", at positions 30 to 523 of the family's 1533-position model. The record is from RNAcentral.